Molecule: non-coding RNA, 927 nt
Filed under: Trichomonas vaginalis G3
Lineage: Eukaryota; Parabasalia; Trichomonadida; Trichomonadidae
Description: Eukaryotic small subunit ribosomal RNA
Rfam family: Eukaryotic small subunit ribosomal RNA
Source: Rfam by way of RNAcentral
UUAAUGGAUAGCAGCAGCAACUCUGGUGCUAAUACAUGCGAUUGUUUCUCCAGAUGUGAAUUAUGGAGGAAAAGUUGACCUCAUCAGAGGCACGCCAUUCGACUGAGUGACCUAUCAGCUUGUACUUAGGGUCUUUACCUAGGUAGGCUAUCACGGGUAACGGGCGGUUACCGUCGGACUGCCGGAGAAGGCGCCUGAGAGAUAGCGACUAUAUCCACGGGUAGCAGCAGGCGCGAAACUUUCCCACUCGAGACUUUCGGAGGAGGUAAUGACCAGUUCCAUUGGUGCCUUUUGGUACUGUGGAUAGGGGUACGGUUUUCCACCGUACCGAAACCUAGCAGAGGGCCAGUCUGGUGCCAGCAGCUGCGGUAAUUCCAGCUCUGCGAGUUUGCUCCCAUAUUGUUGCAGUUAAAACGCCCGUAGUCUGAAUUGGCCAGCAAUGGUCGUACGUAUUUUUACGUUCACUGUGAACAAAUCAGGACGCUUAGAGUAUGGCCACAUGAAUGACUCAGCGCAGUAUGAAGUCUUUGUUUUCUUCCGAAAACAAGCUCAAUGAGAGCCAUCGGGGGUAGAUCUAUCUCAUGACGAGUGGUGGAAUACUUUGACUCAUGAGAGAGAAGCUGAGGCGAAGGCGUCUACCUAGAGGGUUUCUGUCGAUCAAGGGCGAGAGUAGGAGUAUCCAACAGGAUUAGAGACCCUGGUAGUUCCUACCUUAAACGAUGCCGACAGGAGUUUGUCAUUUGUUAAUGGCAGAAUCUUUGGAGAAAUCAUAGUUCUUGGGCUCUGGGGGAACUACGACCGCAAGGCUGAAACUUGAAGGAAUUGACGGAAGGGCACACCAGGGGUGGAGCCUGUGGCUUAAUUUGAAUCAACACGGGGAAACUUACCAGGACCAGAUGUUUUUUAUGACUGACAGGCUUCGGGUCU